This 305-nucleotide ribosomal RNA is filed under the name uncultured bacterium. Its description in RNAcentral is "bacterial SSU rRNA". It matches the Rfam family "Bacterial small subunit ribosomal RNA", at positions 337 to 658 of the family's 1533-position model. The record is from RNAcentral.
UCCCUACGGGACGCAGCAGUGGGGAAUAUUGCACAAUGGGGGAAACCCUGAUGCAGCAACGCCGCGUGAGUGAAGAAGUAUUUCGGUAUGUAAAGCUCUAUCAGCAGGGAAGAAAAUGACGGUACCUGAGUAAGAAGCACCGGCUAACUACGUGCCAGCAGCCGCGGUAAUACGUAGGGGGCAAGCGUUAUCCGGAUUUACUGGGUGUAAAGGGAGCGUAGACGGCGAUGCAAGUCUGAAGUGAAAGCCGGGGGCUCAACCCCGGGACUGCGUUGGAAACUGGAUGGCUGGAGGGCUGGAGAGGG